RNAcentral lists this ribosomal RNA (253 nucleotides) under uncultured bacterium. RNAcentral describes it as "partial 16S ribosomal RNA". It matches the Rfam family "Bacterial small subunit ribosomal RNA", at positions 524 to 776 of the family's 1533-position model. The record is from RNAcentral.
UACGUAGGGGGCUAGCGUUGUCCGGAAUCAUUGGGCGUAAAGCGCGCGUAGGCGGCCCGAUAAGUCUGCUGUGAAAGUCCAGGGCUCAACCCUGGAAUGCCGGUGGAUACUGUCGGGCUAGAGUUCGGAAGAGGCAAGUGGAAUUCCUGGUGUAGCGGUGGAAUGCGCAGAUAUCAGGAGGAACACCUAUAGCGAAGGCAGCUUGCUGGGACGACACUGACGCUAAGGCGCGAAAGCGUGGGGAGCGAACAGG